GCCUACGACCAUAUCACCCUGAAUGCGCCCGAUCUCGUCUGAUCUCGGAAGCUAAGCAUGGUCGAGCCUGGUUAGUACUUGGAUGGGAGACUGCCUGUGAAUACCAGGUGUUGUAGGCU
RNAcentral lists this ribosomal RNA (119 nucleotides) under Petromyzon marinus (sea lamprey). The record is from RNAcentral. Lineage: Eukaryota; Metazoa; Chordata; Hyperoartia; Petromyzontiformes; Petromyzontidae.